Molecule: ribosomal RNA, 253 nt
Filed under: uncultured bacterium
Lineage: Bacteria
Description: partial 16S ribosomal RNA
Rfam family: Bacterial small subunit ribosomal RNA
Source: RNAcentral
UACGAAGGGUGCAAGCGUUGUUCGGAUUUAUUGGGCGUAAAGCGUACGUAGGCGGAAGGUUAAGUCAGGUGUGAAAUCUCGGGGCUCAACCCCGAAAUUGCGCCUGAAACUGGCCAUCUAGAAUACUGGAGAGGGAGGGGGAAUUUCGCAUGUAGGGGUAAAAUCCGUAGAUAUGCGAAGGAACACCAGCGGCGAAGGCGCCUUCCUGGUCGGUUAUUGACGCUAAGGUACGAAAGCGUGGGGAGCAAACAGG